AAACUUCACAUUUGCAUAUUCUACGUUACUUGAAUUCUUUGCUAUGUAUAUACAUUACUAAAAAGUCAAUAUAUAUUUUGAAUGCUGCAUUAGCAACUUUUCAGGGUAUUGCAGACUGAGGCAAGUUCCUCCUGCUCAUGUAUGGCUGUACUCAUGGCCUGUACUCAGCUUCACUUCUUUUCUUACUCUGGACACUAGUCAAUGUAUGCACAGCUAAUUCUAGAUGUAGAAUUUCUUCUCCCCAGAGUUCUGCCCUGUGGCGUUGCUAUAGAUUGAAUGUUUGUGACCUCACCCUCACCCCCCCCUCAAGUCACAUGAUGAAAUCCUAACCCCCAAAGUGAUGAUAUUGGGAAGUGAAGCCUUUGAGAUGUGAUUUGGUCAAGAGGGUAGAGUCCUCAUGAAUGGGAUUCAUGCCCUUAUAGAGGAGACCCCAGACAGCUCCCUUAUGCCUUCUACCAUGUGAAGACACGGUGGGAAGAUGGUCAGCUAUGAACCAGGAAGUGGGUUCUCAUGAGACACAGAAUCUGCUUGCACUUUGAUCUUGGACUUCCCAGGUUCUAGAACUAAGGCAUACAAAUGGCCAACAAGUACAUGAAAAGGCGCUCAACAUCACUAAUCAUCUGGGAGAAGGAAGUGAAAACCACAAUGAGAUAUCACCUUGCACCUGUUAGAAUGGCUGUCAUCACAAAGAGAAGAGCUGGGAAGUGUUGUUGAGAAUGUGGAGAAAAGGGAACCCUUGUGCACAGUUGGUGGCAAUGUGAAUUGGUACAGCUAUUAUGGAAAACAGCAUGGAGGUUCCUCAAAAACUAAAAAUAGAACUACCAUAUAAUCCAGCAAUCUCCUGUCUGGAUACUCAACAGAACUGAAAUCAGCACCUUAGAGAGGUAUCUGUGCUCUCAUGUUCAUUGCAGCAUUAUUUGCAGUAGCCAACAUAUGGAAACAACCUAAACAUAUGUUGAUGGAUGAAUGGACAAAGAAACUGUGGGCUCUCCUCUCCCUUUAUGAACAGAAGACUUUACCAUCUCCAUGUUAUCACAAGUGCUGGGUAUAGAAAUGCUGGGAGAGUCCCCUCAUACUUCUCUUCAUGGCCAGAAAAGAUCUACUGUUUCCCUCAAGGUUUUGAGCUGGGACUAGUAGUACUUUGAGUUAUCACAAGAAAUCUCUGAUCAUCUUGGAAGACUUCUCAGGUGAGACUGUAAAAUACCUGGGCACAUUUGGCCAAGAUUUUGUAUAACUUCUCAAAAAAAACGUUGAUCCCCAUCAUGGAUUAUGCUGAGCAGACUACCAUGUUUUACCCUUACAUGUAGUCUUUUGCUGUAAAAGUCUGUUCAGAGCACAUGGCAUAGUCUGUACCCUCUUUGUUAAAACUAUUUUCAGCACUAACUAUUGCUUAGUAUAAGCAAGGUUAAUAGGGAACUGUUUUUUUUAGGAAUGACAGUGUGAUUGCCUCAUACAAGGCGAUGUGUAAGUAGUCAUGUUGAAGUCUUGUGUAUGGUUUCAUCUCCUUAAGCAGUUUCUUGUAAGGCAUUUCAAUAUAGCAUUCCUUCCCAUUAAUCCUUCAGGCUUGAUCAACAUGGAAAACAAAAUGACCUAUGGAAGUGACACCUUAUAAGCCAGUGUAUUCAAUAGCAGAUGAUUCAAUCCAUUCAUAUUCAUAAUACUGUAGACAGGCAUAUAGAUCUAAGUACCAAGCUGCAUAUGUAACCCACACAUGUAAGAAGGCAUGAAAGAGUAAAGUAGUUAAAUCCCAUGGGGCAGCAGGUGGCUGCUCUUAACUCUAGCUGCAGUGAGGGAAGGGGGCGGGGUGAUGAGUGAGGGAAGUUUCAUGGUGGGAGACAGGGCAUAAUCAUAGAAAAACUGGCUGCUGUGUGAUGGGUCAGUCCUUCAGGCUGCACUUGGAAUUAAAGGCCAUUACACCUGAGGACAUUUGGAGGCUGGGCAGAGUGAGGGCCAGUAAUGGAGUCCUCUGGCAUUGGAGGGGAAUUACCUCCACAACAUUUCCGGCAUUUCUUGGCUUUUUUGAAAGGCAACAGAGAAAUCACUGGAGCAAUAAAAAUGCCCUUAAUGUUUUUGAGGCACAAGCAGGUAGAGUGAUUUUUGAGCAGUUGCAGACAGCAACCAAGAGCACUUCAAAACCAAAAAGCAAAUGGACUCUUGUGGGACCUGCAGGGAAAGCAGGUGGCUAGGCAACCCUGUGCACCCAGCUGCCCCAGCCCAACCUGGACAAGUCAUUCUUGACCCAUUCAGUUUCCACCUCUCACCUUCAAAUGAGUUGUUUCUAGUUUUUUUCCUCUUAAGAACUGUAUUGCUAUGGACAUUUUAUACAUAUUUCCUGGUCCAUUUGUGCAAGAGUUUUAUCAGGUAAUGCUAAAUUGUUUUUAUUUAAAAACUUUUUUUACUAUUUUUUUGAGGCAGGGGAGGGGCAGAGACAGAAGGAGAGAGAAUCCUAACCAGGUUCCUCA
This is a long non-coding RNA of Felis catus (domestic cat), 2462 nucleotides long. RefSeq lists it as uncharacterized. The transcript is spliced from 3 exons. NCBI's taxonomy places the organism in Eukaryota, Metazoa, Chordata, Mammalia, Carnivora, Felidae. The record is from RefSeq and is a predicted model, not a curated record.